This 42-nucleotide ribosomal RNA is filed under the name Gloeophyllum striatum. Its description in RNAcentral is "partial 28S ribosomal RNA". RNAcentral also lists the same sequence under 2 other names. The record is from RNAcentral. Lineage: Eukaryota; Fungi; Basidiomycota; Agaricomycetes; Gloeophyllales; Gloeophyllaceae.
UUGACCUCAAAUCAGGUAGGAUUACCCGCUGAACUUAAGCAU